This 11064-nucleotide long non-coding RNA is filed under the name Phoenix dactylifera (date palm). RNAcentral's name for it is "long non-coding RNA (PDAC_LNC004813)". The record is from RNAcentral. Lineage: Eukaryota; Viridiplantae; Streptophyta; Magnoliopsida; Arecales; Arecaceae.
UGACGUCAAUGAACAAAAAAUAUAGUAAGGCUAAGAAACAUGUCAGACCAAGGUUUCAAAAAGCACAUGGAUGAAGGCAGUCAAGGUAUAUGCAGCCACUUAUGUCGGCACCUAUGCAAUUUGUAUUUUAAAACAUUACAAAAUCAAUAAAUCCAUAGUAAUAGAUAAAAGAGAAGAAAUAUAAUAAACAGCUCAAUAAAAACUAAGAAAUAUAAAAAAAAAUUACAGAAGAGAUGGACUGUCACAUAUUCAAGGCUUGGGAUUAUGCAAGAAACUUGGGCAUAAACCAUGCAGUCCAUCAAAAUCGUAGUUUGAACUUUGAACUGAUCACAUCAUGGGUACCGAGGCAUACUAAGUAUGUACAGCAUCCUGUACUGAGAUGUAUUGAUGAACCCUGAGAAGACAAAGGAGUGUCCUCCAGUACAUACAAUACUGGUAUGCCCCUGCAUGCAAUAUUUCAAACCUUGCACCAAAUAAGAGGUGCAGCAAGCUAAAGCCUUUACAGGGUGGUCAGAGAAGUUGGGGGGGCACACAUGUGAUAAGACAACUGAAGCAAUGCAACUAGUAUGCCUAUCUACAUGAUAAUAUUUAUGGUAAGAUUUUUCUUGAGAGAACAAAUUAGCUACGAUAAGGAUAGGCAAACUAAAGAUAUAAAUAGGGAAGAUGAAUUAGUAUUUUUGUUGAAUUUAGAUGAUUACAUUAAGGAAAACUCUUGAAUAAAAUGGAAUUCUAUUCUGAGGCAAAUAAAAUAAAAUAAGGUACGAAACACAAGUGGAAUUGGCUUGAUUUAAUUGUGCAGCUUGUUCAGUUUGAUCCUAGAAAUUUCAAGGAAUGGUACACAGUUGCAGAGUUAUGACAGAUUAUAGGAAUUAAGGUAAUCAAAUGAGUUUUUUUUAAAUCAAAUAGACUAUUGAAUUAAAAAUUUUAGCCAUGUGUAGUUAUGGAAGAAGAUGAUGGAAUAUUGGUUGAAAAAAUCAAUAAAAACAUAAAAAAUCUUAAGUAGAAUGUUUAUAUUUCCAAUAUGACCAACAAUACUGUUUUGAACCAAAGUUCGUUGAAACGGUAUCGGGACCUAUACCGGUCAGCAAUCGACACAGUAUGGUACGGUCCAUACCAUGCUGUUUCGGGGUGAACCGUAUUUCUUUUUUGAAUUUUUCAAAUUGCCGUAGGCAACAAUACAAAACAAGAUCCCCUAUUACGAAAUGAAAUAGAGGAUCCUUGUUACAAUUAGGGCUUCCGAGCCCUCCCUCCCUCUCUCUCGGCCUCUCUCUCCCCUCCCUCUCCCUCUGCCUUCCUCCCUCCCUCUCCCUCUCUCUUUUCCUCUCUCCUUCUCCCUCUCCCUCCUUUCAAACCAAGGUAAUGAACUGUGCCGAUAACCAGCCGUUCCAAUUCAAUACACCCUAAUCGCCCGAUUUGGCAUGGUUCAACAAACCAUGCUUCAGAUAAAAUAUCAGGCAAUGAGGUCUAGAAACAUAACACGAGCACCACAAAGACGAGAGCAAAGAUUGGCCUGUUAUAAACUGAGAAGAAUGUCUCUUUUCUUUUCUUAGAUUGUUAUUUCCAGUGGUAAAACCAACAUCCCCUUCAGCAGAGUAGAGAGGACUUGGUUCUCCAUAUGGGGUGGAAUCAUAACCAUGGAGAGAGAUAGAGAAAGAGACAAUGAACAGACUAAAAAACAGGUUUUAAGAAUUGAGGAAACCUGGCAUAGGACAGAACCAACACACUAUCAAUUCCACACAUGCCCACCAUCAUAGACUUUCGAUGAAACAUGACAAAAUGGCCCACCAAAACACAUGAGAGGGCAUGUGCACUGGUUGGACUUGCAUUCGGUCCACCCAAGGACCUGAUGGAUGAAACUCGAGAGCAAUACAUGCCCUAAUGAUCCCAGAGUCCAAGUAACAGACCAAUCCAAUUCUAGAUAUAACAUAUCUGAACAUCGCAACAUCAACAAUCAACUACUGGAGGGACCUGAGAAGGAUAUAAUGCAAACCCAACCUCAAUGUUUUGAAAAGGCAGCUAUAUAUGCAGGAAAUCAAGGGGUUACAUGCACAGGCGCCUAUAAGAUUAGAAUUUUAAAAAUAAAUAAAAUAUACUAAAUACAACACUAAUAGCAAUAUUAUUUACAAAUAAUAGCAAUAAUAAUAAGAAUAACAUCUAGUAAUUGGUGCUUGCUUCUUACUAUUUAAUUCUUAGUGGUAAUAUCUUGAGCAAUGAUCUAUAGUAAUAAUAAAGAUAGCAUAAUUAUUAUAUUGACAUUGUUAAUACACAUGUAUCCAACCUGUUUGAAACCCACAUACAACAAAUCAUUAGCUAGAACCUGUCCCGUUCAUAUAGGCCUGCACAAGACUGGACAGAUAUAUGGUUGCACAAUGCUAAAAGGCCCACAUAUGCGGUUGCACAAUGACAAACAGACGGCAUAUGCCACUGCAAAAUAUUAAACCUGGUGUAUAUGUCCUCAAAUGCUAUGCAAACUGUGUUUUUGGACCAUAAUAACCAAAGAUUGCACUAAGGCCUAUCUAAGCAACACUUUGAGGCUCUCGAGCAAGCAGCAAACUAUAACUUAAGCCAUAGAUAACUAAAACUCUAGGAGACCAACUAGGCCUGGGAGCCUACCUAAGGCUUACAUCUGGCUUGGACUCUUUUAAGUUUCAAUACCAAUAGCUGUAGUGGUAUGGCACAAUGAUUAGGAUUAACGUUACAGUUGAUAUGAAAAUUAAAAACACAUAACAUGAUGAUGCUAUUGCUACUAAAAUCAUAUAUAUGAAAUAAUUUUGCGAGCAAUAAAUGCAUUAGUAUUGGCAUCUAGCAUUAAUAUUAUAAAAGAAAUAAUAAAGCUAGAGGGUUUUAUCGCAAAACCAAACCAAAAUAAACAAGUACAAAACUCAUGAACAUGCAACCAAAUCCAUGAGAAUUAUUUUAAAUGACAUACAAUUCAUCAAAAUAAUCAUAUGAAAAAUAUCAAUGUUUCAACUAAGUGGUAACUUCAAAGUAAGGUAUUUCAUCCACAUUAUGCCACUGGAUUAAUGUUGAUAUAAAUUAGACAUCCGUGCAGGAAUUACUCAAACAGCACUUAAAGGGACCCACUCAAAUGUGCUAUUCAACUUACUAGUUAAGCUCAAUUUGGAUUAUUCCUGAUCACCAUCAUAAACAAUAACUAACCUUUCAAUUAUCCUGCUAAAUUUAUAAUGAAUUCUAAUGAAAGCAACUCAUUAGGAUUAAAAGAAAACUAUUAGAACUCCUAAUAAAACUUAAGUACUUCAACAGGACUUUUUAUUGCAUUUACAUAACCAUUUCAAGGUUCUAUGAUGCACUCCACCUACAAGCUAAAAUUUGGUGACUCCACAAAUACCUCAUAAUCAAGGUUAGCUAAAUCGGUACCAUGACCCAUACAAGUCUCGUAUCGGGUCGGGAACGAAAGCUUUCUAAUGUGGGUAGAGACUUUAGGCUAUCGUUUCAACAUGGUAUCAGUUUGGUACCGUAUCGACACGCAAAAAAAAAAUCAAUUUUUAAUAUUUAAUGAAAAGUAAUAAUUUUUUUUGUUUUUUGAAUGAUUUUAAGUCUUAUUUGAUAUUUCUUAAUGUCUUUUGAUGUUUUAUCGUACAUCUUAAGUAAUGCUUCUUAAUAUUUUGGAGUGAUUUUUCUGCUUUGAAAAAAAAAACUAUCUUAGAGAGGCAAAAACUGGCAAAUCUGUGUCAUUGGGUUUGUUACCCCAGUUAUACAUUUUUCAUGCCAAAACUAAAAUGUAAAGAAAAAAGCUAGUGAUCCUAACUUCGCACACCAGGAGAAGCAACAUGAAAUACCUAAAAUCAACUAGUUAAAUAAAAAACAUAUAACGAUACAAUCAAUUAGAUAUAUUUAAAGUAUAACAUACAUAUCAAUUUCUAAAAUCUCAUUGAGUAGCGAUAUCUCUUGUAGAUAUCGAGAUCAUUUGAAUAAUCAGGCGGCACAUCAGCCCACCCUUCUAACCAAGCAGCAUUGUAAUCCUGUGCGUUCAUCUCAUAAGGUAUACACUCUGGGUUAUAACUGGUCUCGAAUUACUCACUGAAGCUUUGACUCUGAAAGGUAUCCUCUAGUUGAUAAUACAGUCAUGGAAAGGCUCAUCUGAAUAUGCCGACAGCAAAAUUCGACUUGUAAGGUGCUUUAUGCUACGUAGGAUAGUAGCCACUGAAAGACAAUACCUUAAACGUACCGUAUCCAUAUCUGUAUGCAUCAUAGAUUGCCUAUAGUUGUAGGUAAUAUGAUCCAACUACGACUCAAAACCUGAUACGUCUACAAAUUUUACUCCACGAGCGAGGUCAUACACAGUUGCAUCAUGUCCUCUGAACGACCUUACGGAACCCAUCUCCUAUAUGCAAUCAUAUGCUCACGGCCUCUACCAUCUCGUGCACCAUAAUCCUUAUCCUGCAUAGUAUGCGUAAAUUAGAACUCACCGGUGAAUAGAAAACCGUCAUACAACUGUCUCAUAAAUGGUGGUCUCAUAUCCUCCACUCUCCUUGACCACCGAAUCUAUAAUCACCAGAACUGUCAUCACUGCUCUCCCUGAUCUCUAAGUUUGAGUAAACUAACUCAUUCACUCUCUCCAUUGGAGUUGGAACUGCCUCUCUUUUCUUUCCGACUACGCUGAGCAUCCACCUGCUUUUCCUUCGUGUCUCUCUCUGUCCGGCUAUGCUAGGAGGAUGAAUGUCGCUCUCCUAAUUGAGUCGACUGGAUAGUGUGGUAGCCUCAUCUAAGCAAACUCUCGGUCAUAUAUCUCUACAAGGAUGUCUUAAAUAUGGAGUCAUAUAAUGAUCGGCUCCCUACUAACCUCUAUGGCUGUAAUUGAUCAAUUGGAAGCAUGCGAAGAAUGUUGCAAUCUGCCCAUUACUCUACAUCCAUCCUAGCCUCGAUGGUUGUGCAAGUGGCUGUUCGUGGAGGUAAUUCUAGCUCAUCGAGCUCCAACUCAUGUUGCUAGCCCACAAGCCAUCCGAUCAUGGGUCAUCCUUAUGUUGAAUGAAAGUAUUGUGGAUUGGAUCCAUGUACUUCAACUCCAUUUCCUUCUGAAUGCACUUCAGCCUCAACCUCAAAUUGUAGCGGACAUAUACAAGCUCAUUGAGACACCUCUAUGUCAGAUGAUUUCUCUGCUUGCUAUAGAUGAGGACGAAUGUGGACUAGUUGUGGUCACAGCCACUCGAGGAAACCGUUUGGAAAAGAAUUUGAAUGGCUAGCUAUUUAACAUAUCUCGCCAACAGAUCAACAUGAGUCCACCCUUUAGUUGCAAAAGCAUGGAAAAAAAUUACAUAUAAGAUAUUAUUAACUCUAAAACGUCAAGUAAUAGUUAUUGUUGAUAUCUAAUAUACCUAAAUUCAUAGUUUUUUUACUUACAAUAGCCGUAGAGACUCCAAAGCUGUUAGUGCCCACCUAAAUAUUUUCAUCUAUGAAAAAAAGACAUGUUAUAAUAUGUUAAUGUUUGAAGACACGAGUUAACUUAUGCAUGCCGCUUAAACUAACUUACCUUUUAUAGACAAAGGGCCGCGACUUCUAAAUCCGACUCCAUCUUAUAGAUCAUAUUACGCAGGAUUACUAAAAAGUUCUCAUUCAUAUCAAUCCUAAGUACGGUGUACUAGAACCUCAGGUUCAGGUAGUUAGCUGCCAAUAGAAUUUGUAAUUAUUUUAGUAAAAUUUUAUAAGUAUAGAAGCAGUCAAAUUUUAAAUAUUCUUGCUUACCUGCUAGAUGCAACUCUCCACCCAUGUGGUAGUCCUGCCUCUACUAAAUGAUAUUGUUGUACUCUUGAACAUGCUUCGAAUCUGCUUCCCUGAUCUAAUUCUCUGCCUUCUCCAUCAUAUAAUAUAGGAAGCCCAUCUGGAGCUACUUCUCACUGUCCACAUUCAUUAAUGGCUCGAUAGCCUUCACUAUCUUCUCGAUCCACUGCCAAAAUGUUUGCCUUAUAACGAAGUUCUCCACAUGGCUCCCCUUAGUGCAAACCCUCACAAAUCUUCUCUCAUGUCACUCAGCACUGACAAACAUCUGACACAAGCCUAUUUUCCUCUCAAGGAGGCUAUCAAGUUCAAUAUAGUUAGUAGCAAGCUGUCACAGUUGGCCUCAAGAUCUCCUCCUGCAUACCUCCUCAUCAGUGAUAGAACUCGUGUGGUUAUAAAUAAAUCCGAUGAUGGAUUGGCCUGUCUCUAUUGUCUGUUGCACCCUAUGGAUCUUUCCAAUCUCCAUCAACAUAAAAUCGAUACGAUAUAUAGCAAAUGAGAGCCAAAAAAUGUGGCUAGUGCUCCAUCAAAAUCAACACAGUGGCCUUAAAUUGUGGCAUGUUAUCAGUGAUGACCUGCAAAACAUUCUCCUCUCCUACCUGAUCAAUCACCUCUUCCAUCAAUAUGAGGAUAUACAUAGCAUUGUGCACCUAAUCGAAACAUCAACUUCUGGAAGAAAGUCUUCGUAUCAUAGCAUAUCAAGAAGAUGAUGCUCCGCCUGAUAGAACCGGUCCAACCAUCACACAUCACCGUCAGUCCAUAUGUGGAUCACUUGCUAUAAUAUGAGAAAAUCCACUUCUAUAGCUCCUUGUUAUUGUUAAGAAGCUCACCAUAGAUGUCAUUCAGUCCUAAAGGAUCUACACCCGACCCAGCAUCUUGUAUAGAGGAACUACAAACCUAUAAUACGUGUUGUUUGUCGCAUUCGCUGGGAUAUGGCUGAAGUGGAACUAAGAUCCAAUAGCUCGCCUCAUAUCCUUCUUCUUGUCCUUCAGCAAGGUGUCAACCCUCUACUGCUUCAAAUUUCUAUUAAGGAAGACGUGGAUUUUGAUCAUAGAUGGUGGCUCCUAACAAAAUCUUUGGAGAACUUCUUCCUGUUGCCAAAAGCCCUUAGUAUAGAUGCAAUACGGCCACUGCCUCUACUAACGGCUUUUCUAAUUGAGGAGGUCCUCCUAAACUCUGGAUCUGCCUCGCCGAUCCCAGAACCAGCGCUUGAUUCAGAGUGAGCCCAAAUUGAGCUUUAUGCCUGGCCACCUCAUCCUGAUGCCACUAAUCAUCUAGGCUCGUCUGAAUAGCAGCUUGAAUCUAUGCCUCCGCAUCAUAUAGUUAUCUUUCCUCUCUUGAACUCUGUCGCACCAAUUAUACCUCCAAUGGUGCCGAUCCAAGAGCAUUUGCUCAUGAUCCCAGCCAAUUAGCAAGCACAUAUCAAUUAUUAAUAGUGAAACUUUGUUAUAAUGAAAAAAUGUUUCUACUUCAUAAAAUACUUCUAAAUUAUCUAAUACAUAGAACUAAUAUUUCAUAUUUCUAGUAUUAUUUAUGUAUUUUUAAUAAUUUUUAAAUUAAAAAAUAAUUUUAAAUAACAAAAAUUCAGAAAAUUUUAUUUUCUACUUCAAAAAAUACUUCAACAUAUAAAAAUAAUUUUUUAUUUUUAUUGAAUAGAUAUUUUUAAUAAUUUUUAAAUUAAAAAUAAUUUUAAAAUAUAAAAAUUCUAAAAAAAUUAAUUUAAGCUCAGAUCCAUGUAGAACCCUAUCUUGAAUGCCACAUAUAUUUUUCUCAGCUCGCAGGCAUGCAUCAAAAGCGGCUUAUUUUUCAAUUUUAUUCAAAUUUGGGCCUAAGCCAUUGUGUGGAUGAUCACAUCUAAAUUAAAAAAAGGGCACCAAAUUUAGGUUGAGAGUAGGCUGCAUGCCCCUAAAAAAGCUUCUAAUUACACAAUUACUUUUGGAGUUUAUUUUAUUUUUUAAUUUAUAAUCCAAAUAUAUAUUUUUAAUGUAUAAAAUUGCAAAUUUAACAAAAAUUUAAAAUUUUGGUCCUAUUGUGUAGAUCAUCCAUAGAUCUAUAACAUAUCAUAAAAUCAUGCCAAAAUCAAAAAUUUUGGCAUGACCUUCCUUAUUUUCUAAUUUUUUUGGUAUUUUUUGAUGUUAUAAAAAAAAGUAGAAGAAAUGAAGUGGAAGAGAACCACCUUACCUUGUUUUGGUUUGGAUCUAGUGUUUAAUCGUUGAUAUCAGUCAUUUUUUGGUGAAGUAGAGGAGGUUGAAAACAAUGAGAAGGCCUAAGAAGGCUCGUGAGGCCAUCCUAGGCCACUCUCUACUAUUGGAAAGAGAGGGGCCAAACCGGUUCGUCCGAUGCAAAUUGAGCAAUCCACACCGGUUCUACUCAAAACCAUCCAGUUCAAAGAAAUUCUCUUUAUUUUUCAAAAAAUAGGGCCGAGUCGUCCCGAUUCCUCCCUAAUUCGAUUCAAUACGCUCCGAAUCGAACGGUUUGGGGCUAUUCGGCAUACCAUGCUCGUAAUCCUAUGUAGCAUUUAAGAACAAAAUAAUUUAAAAAGGACUACCAAUUUGUUAUUCAAAAUCAAAUUAUGAAGUUAAAACUUCAUAUACUAAGCCAAAUGACCACAAAGUUUAUAUGUAAAGGCACCUCAAAUAGAGACAACUAGUUGAACAUUACUUCAAGCCACGAUCUAGUGAACCAUGUCAAUUAGCUGGUUUGAGGCAUGCCGAACCACCUAACCAGAUCAGUCAAGUACCAGCAUGGUUCUGGGGCUCGCUUUGAAAUGAUAACAUUAGGGCUGAAAGUGGGUCGAAUUAUAUCCGACCGUAUCCGUUUUCGUAUCCGAUUUGGGCCAGAUUCUGAUACUCCGAAUACAUAUUCGGAUAGUCAGUUCAAAAAUCCCCCAAAUACGGAUAAGGAUGCAGAUAUACCUGAUUUUUUUAGAUUCAGAUCCGGGUCUAGAUAUCCGUAUAUAAGGGUGCAAAUGGAUCGGGUCGAAUCUUAAGUGACCCUGACCCAACCCAGUUUCUUGUUCAGGUCCUAAUUUUGGACCCAGACCCAACCCAAAUAAAGAUUGGGUCAAGUCGGGUCGAGUCUACGGCUACAAUUUUUGACCCAUCAAGUCAUUCGGGUCGGGUCGGGUCCAUGUGUAACCCAAACCCGACCCAAAAAAUUCGAGUCCAGGUCGGGUCCGGGUCUGUGUCGGGUCCGGGUCCAGAAAUUCAUCAGGUCCAUUCUUACCUCGAGUAAAUAAUGCCAGCUCCAUAGUCAACUUUUUGAGAGGUUUUAUUGAAAGGUCCCAUCCUACUUUUUGUCCUCUGCUGCAGGCCCCCGUCAAACUUUUUUUAGAGGUUUAAUUGAAAGGUUCCAUCCUACCUUUUGUCCUCUACUACAGGCCGCCCACCCCCCUCUCUCUGUAUUCCCUUCGCAAGGAGGCACUGCAAAUAGACAACAGAUAGUGAGAGAGCGAGAGCGAGCGAACUCCCAGGGAGAAAGGGACUCAAAGAGAAGAGAGUGAGAGAAAGAGGAGGUAUGGGAACGGGAUGGGGGAGAGCAUUCUGCACAUUGAUCCGUCGAGAUCCGGAUACGGCGGCGGUGGAAAGGAGCCCUGACCCCAACCCCCGAAGCUGUGCGAAGUUGAGCUUCUCUGGCAGCGGCAGCGGUAGCAAUUCACCGAUGCCAAGGUAGCGCAGCCUCCAGUGCCGCACCAAGUCGACACAUCCGGAGAGCCCAAAGCUGCAAUCCAAGACCGCGAUGAUGGUAAGCUCGCACACGUCGCCACCACCAACCAGCUCGAAGCGGAGCCCCACUUUCCUCCGCCGAGGUUCCUCCAACACGUCUUCACCCAGAUCCCCUUCUGCGUUCGCCAUCUUCAAGGCCGCCCUUCACCACUCUAGGUAUGCAUUUCGUCUGCACAAUUCCGGCAAAGGUUCCUCCAACACAUCUUUUUUUUUCCUUCAUUCCGGAUGAAAAUACAUAUUUUCCUCACUCCUCAAUCCUCACGGAAAACCGACUGUCGGAGGCUCGGAGCGAUUUUUCCUGCGGGCUGCAGCUGCGGCCUGUGGGCCUACGGUCUGUGGCUGCGGCCUAUGGGCCUGCGGCCCUAAAUGGGUAAUCCAGGUUUGGGUCGGGUCGGAUCGGAUCGUUGGAUAAACGAUCCAAAAUUGACCAAAAAAAUGGAUCGAGUCAGGUCCGGGUCGGAUUGAGAUUCAGUAAACCCAGACCCAACACAAAAAACAGAAUGGAUCCAAAUUUAGAGCCCGACCCGAACCCACGGAUCCUCUAAAACGGAUCGGGUCGGGUCGGGCCAUGGGUCAACCCGACCCAUUUGCAACAUUAUCCGUAUAGCAAGGGUAAGUGAAAAGAAGUUUAAGUUAAAUUACGAAACCAAUUAAAUGAUUAAGCAAACCUAAACUAUAAAAAAAUCUAGAUAUCGGAUGACCGUCACUUAAGUAACCCGAAUAUGGAAUACCUGAUUCGAAUAAAAUCCUUUAAAUCACCCCGCACGCCUGAAAGGCUUAAACCUCUUGUUCGUCUGUUUUGUCCCUCUUUCCUCUUCGUCAUCUUCAAGCAACUAGAGUUUCGAAGAUCCCGUCCACUUCUUAGUUUCAUCCGACAAUUGCAAUCGCGACAGCCAUGUGAUACCUUGGAGGCGCCAUAAAUCCCAUCUAGUUCGGUGACGAGCAACCUUGAGCAGUAUACCUUUUAUUAAAUUGUUAUUUUUUUAUUGAUAAAUGCUUGUUAAAAUUAUAUUUUUUUAAUUGAAUCUUUUCUUUAUGAUUAUAUCUUUAUUGCUAGUUUUCAUCAUCGAAUUUUGCUCAAAUUUGAUUAAUAUCCGAAAAAGUAUGCGAUUUAUAUCCGUAUUCGGAUCAAGAAAAUAUGGAUAUCUUUAAUAUCUGAUUCGUAUUUGUAUCCAUUUAUAACAAAUAUGAAUAUACUUAAUAUCCGAUUUGUAUCGGUAUCCGUUUAGAAUAAAUAUGGAUAUUAAUUUUGAUAUCCAUUUAAUAUCCAUAUCCAUAUUCAUUGAAAAAUAUAGAUACAAAUAUGGAUAUAUCAAUAUCCGAUCCGUUUUCAGCCCUAGAUAACCUCCUCCCCCUCCCCAUGCAUCGAACACUCCCUCACCUCUCUCUCCCCCUCCCACCUCCAACCUCUCUCUCAAGGUUCGCUUGAAGCCCUCAUCGCCAAAUCCAGCCUCUCUUGUCGCGAAGCCCUCGAAGCACGUCGAAGCCCUCCUCCAAAUUCAGUCUCUCCCUCGUCAUGAAGACCUUAAAGCCUUCCUCCAAAAUCCAACCUCUCUUUUUGUGAAGCCCUCAAAGCCCAUCCAAACCCAUCGAAGCUCAAGCU